UUCUGGCUCAGGAUGAACGCUAGCGACAGGCCUAACACAUGCAAGUCGAGGGGUAGCGUGAGGGAAGCUUGCUUCCCUUGGCGACGACCGGCGAAUGGGUGAGUCACGCGUGUCCAACCUGCCCCGUGCCCGGGGAUAGCCCUUGGAAAUGAGGAUUAAGACCCGAUAUGUGGCGCUUCCGCAUGGCGGCGCCAUGAAGCAGGCACGGGAUGGGGACGCGUCGGAUUAGCUUGACGGCGGGGCAACGGCCCACCGUGGCGACGAUCCGCAGGGGUUCUGAGAGGAAGGUCCCCCACACUGGCACUGAGACACGGGCCAGACUCCUACGGGAGGCAGCAGUGAGGAAUAUUGGUCAAUGGGCGGGAGCCUGAACCAGCCAAAGUAGCGUGCAGGACGACGGCCCUACGGGUUGUAAACUGCUUUUCCGGGAGGAUAAAGUGAGCCACGCGUGGUUCAUUGCAGGUAUCCCGGGAAUAAGGACCGGCUAAUUCCGUGCCAGCCGCUGC
Molecule: ribosomal RNA, 506 nt
Filed under: uncultured bacterium
Lineage: Bacteria
Description: bacterial SSU rRNA
Rfam family: Bacterial small subunit ribosomal RNA
Source: RNAcentral